RNAcentral lists this long non-coding RNA (199 nucleotides) under Elaeis guineensis (African oil palm). RNAcentral's name for it is "long non-coding RNA (EGUI_LNC063671)". The record is from RNAcentral. Lineage: Eukaryota; Viridiplantae; Streptophyta; Magnoliopsida; Arecales; Arecaceae.
GGUACCCAUAAUGUGUGGAACUCGUGAUCAGAGAAUCCUGAUUCUCGAUCACUGAGUCUCAAAUAUGUAGGAUUCUACAUCAGCCAUCAGAUUAGAUAAGAACCUCUAAUGUGUGUGACCCCGCAGGUUUGAACCUAAGCCGGUAGCACAGGAACCAAUUCCUGUACUAAUCGAAGUGACCAUCUAGCAAUAGUACCUG